CAACCCCUCAAGCCCAGCUUGGUGUUGGGGCCCUGCGGCUGCCGCAGGCCCCGAAAGGAAGUGGCGGGCCCGCAGCGACUCCGAGCGUAGUAGAAACCUAUUCUCGCUAGGGAGGCCGCGGCGGCGCCCCUGCCGUUAAACUGCUGCACACAGCACUCCAAA
This 162-nucleotide unclassified non-coding RNA is filed under the name uncultured Coniochaetales. RNAcentral's name for it is "sequence contains ITS2". The record is from RNAcentral. Lineage: Eukaryota; Fungi; Ascomycota; Sordariomycetes; Coniochaetales.